GGGCUUUGGGGGUGGCAUGCUUUUGUUUUCAGGUUUUGUUUACGUCUAUGUCAGUCAGCAGGGAGCAGAGCUGGACGUCCGAGCUGCAACCGGACAAUAAAAGGUGUAAGAAAGCGCCGGGAUCACAAUAGAUGCUUCUGGAACCAGCUGGGGAAGGCAGACCAGGAACUUACAGGAACAAAUCUGGAACAUUUCCAGGCGUUAGAGGAGGGAGGGAGGGAGGGAGGGGUUGACAUGUGAGCCGGCCGAGCUGAAUGGCAUCAUGGGCUAAACAAAUGACAGGUGAUGUCAUGUCAUUGUCCCUUUUGUCCCAUGUUGACGCUCUGAGUAAAAAGAUGUGAUCUCACCGGUGGAUUAAAGCUUCACACCCAAAAAGAGGGUUCGGUAUUCUUCUGAGAAAUUCCACUGACAAGAAAAACUCUGUUUCAUUCCAUUAUGCCCCUUUAUAGCAUGAAAAAUAAGAUGUUCCUCUAAUAGUCCCACAGGGGGAAAUCCCAAAAUUACAGAAGCCUAGCAUAGAUACACAAAGAGAAGAAUUUAAAGAGUAAAAACAAGAUAUGUGCAUAUGUCAUAUUUACAUCUGUACAGAAUUUACAUAAUAAUCUGGUUUAUUGCACACUGAGGUUCCUGUUUUGGAGUUGAUACCUGCGAUACCUCUCUGUCACACACUUUGGAUCAGACUUGUGUUAAAUUUUUAAUCAAUCUAGUACAAACAGCACCCCAAAAUACUCAGUGUAGAACAAAUGUGUAUUAAUACGCCAAAGAAAAUAGUCCCGACAAAUGCCCUCAUUCCUCUUGUUAAAAAUAAACUAGAUUGAAAACUUCAGCUGUUUUUUAAGUCAACUGAACCUCUGCAAUAGUGAAGUUUUUAUGUUCAAUAUAACAUCUUGAUAUUUUCUCAAUAUAACAAAGAUAACUUUGUCAUGAGAACUAAGAGUAAGGAGGUGCCACUUUUAGUAUUUUGAAACUGAUUGGGAUAAAAAAAAAAUAGGAGGCUGUAUUAAUGUGACAUAGAAGGAAAAGGACACAAAUCAAGGUGCAGUAGGGACCUGAGAUAGUUUGACUGACAUGACUCUGUCGUGGAAAUCACCACAUGAGCCUGCAGAUAAUAAAAAAAGGUCUUUUACUGUGGGAUUAAUUUAAAGUUUAAAAGGUUAGCUCAACGAUUUUAAGUCAUGAUUUUUGCUGUAAAGAAAUGAAAAGGCUGCGAGAGGGAGAGAGAGAGAGAGAGAGAGAGAAGGGCUAGUAGGAUAGAAAUCCUGACCUCUCUGUUUUGAGUGGGACUGAAUCAGGAAAAGUGGAAGAAAGAGAGAGAGAGAGGGAGAGAAAGAGAGAGAGAGAGUGAGGGGGGAUAUGAAGUUUCCUGCCAAACAGCCUGGAGUGAAAAUGCUCUGAUUGUGGGAACCGUCUGCACAACGAGCUCGACAGAAACCAACACCGACCCAACAGGUAGUUCAACUGCUCAUUAAACACACGGCUGCUUUUUACAGGCUGCUGGGGCUCACUGUUUAUACUGGCAUGGACACACACACACACACACACACACACACACACACACACACACACAUUCAUAAAGUACACACACUGGAAAUACUGCAAAUAUGCUCAUGUUUUCUAUAACAGUUUUACUUCCUCCAAAACCCAGUAAAAUCUCCUCGCUUCUGCAGAUUUAAAACAAGUUUUUAUGUCUUUAUGAAAUAAUUAAAGUCCUCAUUAGUGUGUGAAGACUGCACACAAACACACACACACACACUCAUAAAGUAUGAACA
Molecule: long non-coding RNA, 1769 nt
Filed under: Xyrichtys novacula (pearly razorfish)
Lineage: Eukaryota; Metazoa; Chordata; Actinopteri; Labriformes; Labridae
Source: RNAcentral